Molecule: ribosomal RNA, 882 nt
Filed under: uncultured Bacillus sp.
Lineage: Bacteria; Bacillati; Bacillota; Bacilli; Caryophanales; Bacillaceae
Description: bacterial SSU rRNA
Rfam family: Bacterial small subunit ribosomal RNA
Source: RNAcentral
UGCAGUCGAGCGGACAGAUGGGAGCUUGCUCCCUGAUGUUAGCGGCGGACGGGUGAGUAACACGUGGGUAACCUGCCUGUAAGACUGGGAUAACUCCGGGAAACCGGGGCUAAUACCGGAUGCUUGAUUGAACCGCAUGGUUCAAUUAUAAAAGGUGGCUUUUAGCUACCACUUACAGAUGGACCCGCGGCGCAUUAGCUAGUUGGUGAGGUAACGGCUCACCAAGGCAACGAUGCGUAGCCGACCUGAGAGGGUGAUCGGCCACACUGGGACUGAGACACGGCCCAGACUCCUACGGGAGGCAGCAGUAGGGAAUCUUCCGCAAUGGACGAAAGUCUGACGGAGCAACGCCGCGUGAGUGAUGAAGGUUUUCGGAUCGUAAAACUCUGUUGUUAGGGAAGAACAAGUACCGUUCGAAUAGGGCGGUACCUUGACGGUACCUAACCAGAAAGCCACGGCUAACUACGUGCCAGCAGCCGCGGUAAUACGUAGGUGGCAAGCGUUGUCCGGAAUUAUUGGGCGUAAAGCGCGCGCAGGCGGUUUCUUAAGUCUGAUGUGAAAGCCCCCGGCUCAACCGGGGAGGGUCAUUGGAAACUGGGGAACUUGAGUGCAGAAGAGGAGAGUGGAAUUCCACGUGUAGCGGUGAAAUGCGUAAAGAUGUGGAGGAACACCAGUGGCGAAGGCGACUCUCUGGUCUGUAACUGACGCUAAGGCGCGAAAGCAUGGGGAGCGAACAGGAUUAGAUACCCUGGUAUCCACGCCGUAAACGAUAAGUGCUAAGUGUUAGAGGGUUUCCCCCUUUAGUGCUGCAGCAAACGCAUUAAGCACUCCGCCUGGGGAGUACGGUCGCAAGACUGAAACUCAAAGGAAUUGACGGGGGCC